Quercus lobata is the source of this 3462-nucleotide RNA transcript. It is a transcript of the gene named disease resistance protein RPM1-like, with no coding region annotated. Lineage: Eukaryota; Viridiplantae; Streptophyta; Magnoliopsida; Fagales; Fagaceae. The transcript is spliced from 2 exons. The record is from RefSeq and is a predicted model, not a curated record.
AUUCCAUUUCCCUAAACUACACUUCACCCAUCUUUUUCCACCAUAAUACCAGACCCACUUCUCCAAGCUAAGUCCUUGUUCACAUUAAUCUUCAAUAUAUCCCACCAAAUUGUCAUCACCGUCCAUACCCUCAAUCUAACUCAACACCCGGUCUUUUUCUUGGAACGAAUACCAGGAUCAUCAAUGACUUCAAAACCCAUGAUUCUAAGAAUUCCGCAUCAUCAUUUUUCCACUUCUCCAUCUCCAAACUUAGCGACUCGUGUCACCCGAACCCAUUUCCAUGCCUCCUUGUCUGUAAAUCAACAACCCUUUUAGAUAGCUCAAAUAAAAGAACCAUUCAAUCAUCUAUAGUCAUAUUAGUGAUAAUAUGAAAAGCAACAGUCUAGCAAAUGGUGUGUGUACUUAAAUGAUCUAAGAAGGAAGAAGAAAUGGCAGAAAUUGCAGUUGGCCUCGUUAUUGAGAAUUUGGUCCGGUUGUUAGUCCAUGAAGCAAAAUUUUUGAUGGGUAUCCACGUUAAAGUUGCAAACAUCAAAGAUGAAUUGGAGAUCAUUCAGUCCUUCCUCAAGGACGCAGAUGCUAGGACCGAAAUAGGGGACAUGAGCAACGUUGAGAAAACAUGGGUGAAACAGAUAAGGGAAGAAGCUUAUCACAUAGAAGAUGUUAUUGACGAAUACAUACUUCAUUUAGCAAAAGGUUCUCAUGGGCGAAAGCCAGGAUUAUAUUUUCUCCAUAAAGUUUUUCGAUUUACCAUAAAAUUGAAAGCAAGAAGUGUUAUAGCCUAUAAGAUUCAAGAUAUCAAUAAAAAUCUCAAGGAAAAGAGAGAGCGGGCUGUUAGAUAUCACUUCAACACUAUAAACCAAGGAGGAUUGGGCAGCGACACUAGAAGUGAUACAUGGCUUGACCCUCGAGUGGAAUCCCUUUUCAUUGAGGAGGCUGAGGUUGUGGGCAUUGAGUCACAUAGAGACAAUUUGAUAAAUUGGCUGGUAGAAGGAUCAUCUAAUCGCAUGGUGUGUUCGGUGGUCGGCAUUGGUGGGCUUGGCAAGACCACUCUUGUUAAAAAGUGUAUGACAAUGAGAAGAUUGUAUCUCACUUCAAUUGUUAUGCUUGGAUCACUGUGUCUCAAUCAUACAAGAUGGAGGAACUAUUAAGAGUAAUGAUAAAGCAGUUCUACAAGGCAAAGAAGGAGUUUGCUCCUAAGGAAAUUGACACAAUGAAAGUAAUAUCACUAAUUGAAGAAUUAAAGCACUAUUUGCGUGAACAAAGGUAUGUAGUAAUUUUUGAUGAUAUAUGGAAUAUAGGAUUUUGGGAACAUAUAAAAUGUGCUUUCCCAGAGAAUGACAAAGGAGGUAGAAUAAUAAUCACAACCCGAAGUGAGGAUGUUGCUCCUUCUAACAAAGAAUCUCCAUAUUAUUAUGUGUACAAGUUACCACCUCUACCUUUAGAAAAAGCUUUGGAGCUUUUCUACAAGAAGGUAUUCCAAAGGGAAAGGGGGCAAUGUCCUCCUGAGCUUUAUGAUUUGUCACGUGUAAUAGUUGAAAGAUGCGGAGGGUUACCUCUAGCAAUUGUGGCUAUAGGUGGUCUUUUGUCAACCAAAGCCAAGGUUGUCUCUGAGUGGUGCAAAGUUCUUGAUGGUCUUAGUCUAGAGUUUGAAACUAAUUCCCGCCUUAGAAGUAUCACCAAGAUUCUAUCCUUUAGUUAUUGUGAUCUACCUUACAAUCUCAAAGCAUGUUUCUUAUAUUUGGGCAUGUUUCCAGAGGAUUACUCUAUUAAUUGUGCUAGACUAACUCGGCUAUGGAUAGCUGAAGGUUUUGUAAAAGAAAAGAAAGGGAAAGUGUUGGAAGAUGUUGCACAUGAUUGCUUGAGUGAACUCAUUCAUAGAAGUUUGGUUCAAGUGGCACAAGUUGAUUUUGUUGGCAAAGUUAGAACUUGUCGGGUUCAUGAUAUGAUGCGUGAGGUUAUUGUUUCUAGGUCAGAAGAAUUGAGUUUUUGUCAUGUUUCAAUGAGUAAUUGCUCAAUUUUUAAUGGAAUUGGUCGGCACCUCUCCAUUCAAAACAAUGUAAAUACUCCUUUGGAGGGUACUUCUACUUCCCAAACUCGUUCUAUUCUUAUGGUGGGGGUAGUCGAGGUAUCCAAUUAUUUUCUUACUACCUAUUUUGAAAAUUUUAAGCUCAUGAAAACACUAGAUUUUGAAGGGGCUUCUAUAGAUUACAUUCCUAAAGAAGUGGGUAACCUAUUCCAUCUAAGAUAUUUAAGAUUGAGAGAUACUAAAGUACACAUUCUUCCAAAGUCUAUAGGUAAACUACAUAACUUAGAGACUUUGGAUUUGAAACGUUCCCUUGUGUCCGAGCUACCAAAGGAGAUCAAUGGGCUCCUUAAACUACGAUAUCUUGCGGCCUACUUUAUAAAUCGUGAUAUUGAAUAUAAUAUUGAUCAUCGGCGUGCGGUAAAGAUAUCAAGUGGUAUUGGGAAGUUAGAGUCCUUACAGAAGCUUCAUAAAGUGGAAGUCAACAACAACACCCUUAUUUCAGAAUUGGGAAGAUUGAGGCAAUUGAGAAAGUUGAGUAUCUCCAAAUUGAAGAGAGAAAAUGGGAUUGCUUUGUGUACUACAUUGGAGAAAAUGAUCCACCUUCGGUCAUUGAAAAUCAGUGCAAUAAGUGCGCAAGAAGUUAUUGAAUUACAAUCAAUGUCUUCUCCUCCACUCCUCCUACAAUCUCUUGUCCUAAGAGGGCGACUUGAAAACUUGCCAGAAUGGAUUCCUAAACUCAAGAGUAUAGUUAGAAUUGGUUUUACUUGGUCAAGAUUAAUAGAAGAUCCAUUAGAGAUCCUUCAAGCUUUACCUAACUUGAUGAAUCUUGUGAUUUACCAAGGAUAUGAAGGUGGACAAUUACAUAUUGAGGAAGGAGGCUUCCAGAAACUCAAGUUUCUAGGGCUCACAAAUUUGAAAAAUUUGAAUAGGUUGAUAAUAGAUGAAGGUGCCCUGCCUCUUCUUGAAAAGAUUGAAAUUGGACCUUGCCCACUACUGGAGGAGGUGCCCUCUGGCAUCCACCACCUGAAAAACCUCAAAGAUUUGGAAUUUUUCGAAAUGCCGAGGGAAUUUGUGCUUAGUAUGCAACCAAAUGAAGGCCCUGAUUUUUGGAAAGUCAAGCAUGUUCCUUUUGUUUGUUUUUGGUAUAGGAUUCAAGGGGAACGCUACAAAACCUACAAGCUUGGUGAUUUAGAGUUGUUGGAGCAUCUGCGAAGGUAAGUCAAGAGGUGGACAACCAAAGUGCCCUCAACAUUUUUGAGAAAUCACAGGCUUCAAAUACCAACAUCUCAAGGAUAUUCAAGUGCCAGAUCGUACAGGAUAUAGUUUUUCUCUCAAUCAACCAGAAUAUCAGUGGCUGAUUCUCUGCCUGACUGCCUUUGUCAUUAUAUUGUUGUUGUAAUUAUGUUGUCACUAUUGCUGUAGUAUUGCUACCUGAU